UACGGGGGGGGCAAGCGUUGUUCGGACUUACUGGGCGUAAAGGGCUCGUAGGUGGCCAAGUAAGUCAGACGUGAAAUCCCUCGGCUUAACCGGGGAACUGCGUCUGAUACUGGAUGGCUAGAGAUUGGGAGAGGGAUGCGGAAUUCCAGGUGUAGCGGUGAAAUGCGUAGAUAUCUGGAGGACCACCGGUGGCGAAGGCGGCAUCCUGGACAAACACUGAGGCUGAGGAGCGAAAGCCAGGGGAGCAAACGGG
This 253-nucleotide ribosomal RNA is filed under the name uncultured bacterium. RNAcentral's name for it is "partial 16S ribosomal RNA". It matches the Rfam family "Bacterial small subunit ribosomal RNA", at positions 524 to 776 of the family's 1533-position model. The record is from RNAcentral.